This 250-nucleotide ribosomal RNA is filed under the name uncultured bacterium. Its description in RNAcentral is "partial 16S ribosomal RNA". It matches the Rfam family "Bacterial small subunit ribosomal RNA", at positions 355 to 602 of the family's 1533-position model. The record is from RNAcentral.
UGAGGAAUAUUGGGCAAUGGGCGAGAGCCUGACCCAGCCAUGCCGCGUGCAGGAAGACGGUCCUAUGGAUUGUAAACUGCUUUUAUACGGGAAGAAACCCUCCGACGUGUCGGAGCUUGACGGUACCGUAAGAAUAAGGAUCGGCUAACUCCGUGCCAGCAGCCGCGGUAAUACGGAGGAUCCAAGCGUUAUCCGGAAUCAUUGGGUUUAAAGGGUCCGUAGGCGGGUCUAUAAGUCAGUGGUGAAAUCC